This 1073-nucleotide long non-coding RNA is filed under the name Vulpes vulpes (red fox). Its description in RNAcentral is "lncRNA (ENSVVUG00000013314.1)". Lineage: Eukaryota; Metazoa; Chordata; Mammalia; Carnivora; Canidae. The record is from RNAcentral.
CAAUUUGUUUUGUUUUAAAAAUGUGUUCACAAAAUUAAAAUUCUUUAUAUAAAUUAGAAAUGUUAUAGGGAAAACAAGAAGCUUUUUUUCAGAUUAGGGUAAAAAAAAAAUGCCACAGCUCUCAGUCUGGGUAAUUCAAAACUAGGUUGACAAUCUGUCAGAACUGAACAGUGAAACUGUCACAUGCACACUUGUCAAAAUAAAUGAAGUAUUUGAUGUUCAAGUUCAGGUGUUAGUUAACCUGUCAACAAAUGGACAAAAGAGAGGAAAGAAGACAGACCUUCAAAGUCUCAGCCAUUGGGUUUUCCGAAGCCCAGACUCCUUCAGAUGGGUGAUGAUAGCAAAUGGUAUCAAAGAAUGAAAACUCAACUAUGCUGGAAUGGACCUGUGCUCAUCAACCAAAUCUCAACAACGUCUAUUCGUCCCUUGGCUUGCAUCAAGCCCGGCACUGUGUGAUAUGCAGAAGAGAUCAUGACGGAAAGAGAAUUUCUGCCCUCAAUGAGCUGACAGUCUAGAGGUGGAUCCAUACAGGUUAGCAAGUGACUGUGGGAGAAGGAUGAAUGCUUACCUAGCCCUGACUGCGAGCUUUGUAUGUUAGUGUUAACGUAUCCAAUUCACACAGCCCCAUAAGAGCACCGAUGCUAGUUUUGCCAUAUAAAAUCCUGCCCUAAACCUAGCAGCUCACCCUAACAAUCACUUGGUUAGCCACAGCUCUGUGGUCUGCCCACUUAGACAGUGCUCAGGUGGGUCGACUCACGCAUCUGUGGUCAGCGAGCAGUGACAUCGUUAACUCACGUGUCAUGCAGUUGGAGUAGUGGGGACAGCUCAACAUCCCCAUUGUAUUGUGGGGGCCCCCCUCAUCAUCCAGCAGACCGGCCCGAACUUCUUCAUUUGGUGAUAUUGCAGAGUUUUUAAGAGCAGCAAUGGAAAGCAGGUGACACCGUACAACACUCCCCAAGCCUCUGCUUGGUACCCAUUUGCUACCAUUGUCUUGUUGGCCAGAGUAGGUCACAAGGCCAGCCCAGAUUCAAGGGGGAAGCAAAAGGUUGCCUUUGAUGGAGGAAAUCAUAAAG